This is an RNA transcript of Heteronotia binoei (common prickly gecko), 1282 nucleotides long. It is a transcript of the gene named methyltransferase 1, tRNA methylguanosine, with no coding region annotated. The transcript has 7 exons. The record is from RefSeq and is a predicted model, not a curated record. Lineage: Eukaryota; Metazoa; Chordata; Lepidosauria; Squamata; Gekkonidae.
GGGUUGUGACGUUUAUUUCUCGCGACUGGAGCCUAUUGGGGGCUUCACGUGGUUUGCGCUUUGCAGGUUUUGUGGCUUGUCUGACCAUGGCGGAGGUGCUGGCAGCGCCGCUGCCCCAGAAGCGCUACUACCGGCAGCGCGCGCACUCUAAUCCGUUGGCGGAUCACACUUUGCGCUAUCCUGCCAAGCCUGAGGAAAUGGACUGGUCUGAGCUCUACCCAGAGUUCUUCAUGCCUUUAACCAAAGAUGAUCAGCACGAUGACCCAAAGGACGUGGAAGAGAGAGCCAAGCCUUCCUUUCAAGUAGAAUUUGCUGAUAUUGGCUGUGGUUAUGGGGGAUUACUGGUUGCACUGUCUCCUCUGUUCCCGAACACCUUAAUGCUGGGCCUGGAGAUCCGUGUGAAGGUCUCAGAUUAUGUGCGAGAUAGGAUCCAGUCCCUGCGAGUGUCCCACCCUGGGCUGUAUCAGAACAUUGCCUGCAUCCGCAGCAAUGCCAUGAAACACCUGCCCAAUUUCUUCCGCAAGGGACAGUUGUGCAAAAUGUUCUUCCUCUUCCCCGACCCUCACUUCAAGAAGACAAAGCACAAGUGGAGAAUUAUCAGCACCACCUUGCUGGCAGAGUAUGCCUAUGUCCUGCGUGAGCAGGGACUGGUGUACACCAUCACAGAUGUGGAAGAAGUGCACAAAUGGAUGGUAAAGCAUUUCCAAGAGCAUCCACUCUUUGAGCAAAUACCGUUAGAAGAACUGGCAAGUGAUCCUGUUGUUGCUCUCUUGGGAACCUCAACUGAGGAAGGGAAGAAGGUUCAGAGGAAUGGAGGCAAGACUUUUCCUGCUGUUUUCCGGCGUGUCGCAGACAAAACCCUGAAGGAGCCACUGGAUAAAACACAGGAAGUGGCCAGGACAUGACCGGGGGAUUUCCUGAGCCCUGACAAGAUUCACGUUGGCCGUGCCUUCCUCUCAGUGAUGGGGAGAGGCAUUACAGCAACAGUGGAAAGGACUAAAUAUUUAUCUCCAUAGUGGAGUCAACCUUCUAUAAAUAUAGAAGGGAAAUCCCUUCAGAGAAGUACUGCACAGUUGUGUAAUAGAUUGCCUGGAUCUCAUUGGUGUUCAUGUUGCCCAUAGCAGGGCCACGAUGCAUAAUAAUGACCAUAGUAGCUGAACUGCAAUGAUUAUUAUUAUUAUUAUUUAUUACAUUUGAUUUAUAUCCCGCCCUCUCCGCAAGCGGACUCAGGGCGGCUCACAGUAUCUAGACAAUUAAACAAAUAAAAUAUAUAAAACCAUAA